This 422-nucleotide ribosomal RNA is filed under the name Leptotrichia wadei. Its description in RNAcentral is "bacterial SSU rRNA". It matches the Rfam family "Bacterial small subunit ribosomal RNA", at positions 28 to 451 of the family's 1533-position model. Lineage: Bacteria; Fusobacteriati; Fusobacteriota; Fusobacteriia; Fusobacteriales; Leptotrichiaceae. The record is from RNAcentral.
GAUGAACGCUGACAGAAUACUUAACACAUGCAAGUCUUUGGCGAAGCUGUGCUUGCACAGCCUAGCCAAGGCGGACGGGUGAGUAACGCGUAAGGGACUUGCCCUGCAGUCAGGGAUAACAGACGGAAACGACUGAUAAAACCUGGUAAAGUCAGACGGACUCAUGUCCAGCCUGAUGAAAAGGAGUGCUGCAGGAGAGCCUUGCGUCCUAUUAGCUUGUUGGUGGGGUAACGGCCCACCAAGGCGAUGAUAGGUAGCCGGCCUGAGAGGGUGGACGGCCACAAGGGGACUGAGAUACGGCCCUUACUCCUACGGGAGGCAGCAGUGGGGAAUAUUGGACAAUGGGGGCAACCCUGAUCCAGCAAUUCUGUGUGCACGAUGAAGGUCUUCGGAUUGUAAAGUGCUUUCAGCAGGGAAGAAAA